RNAcentral lists this small nucleolar RNA (104 nucleotides) under Castor canadensis (American beaver). RNAcentral describes it as "Small nucleolar RNA SNORA51 (ENSCCNG00000009243.1)". Lineage: Eukaryota; Metazoa; Chordata; Mammalia; Rodentia; Castoridae. The record is from RNAcentral.
GACUUCCUGGUGCUUACCAUAAGCUGUGUUCUAAUAUUGACUGCAGAGAAGGAGGUGGCAUAAACCUGACAACAUACACAAUUCGGCCCAGAGAGUAGAGAAGG